GCCGGGCACGGUGGUGGGUGCCUGUAAUCCCAGCUACUCAGGAGGCUGAGGCAGGAGAAUUGCUUGAACCCGGGAAGUGGAGGUUGCAGUGAGCCGAGAUUGCACUACUGCACUUUAGCCUGGGCAACAGAGCAAGACUCUGUCUCAA
Pongo abelii (Sumatran orangutan) is the source of this 148-nucleotide unclassified non-coding RNA. It matches the Rfam family "Metazoan signal recognition particle RNA". From Rfam's summary of the family: The signal recognition particle (SRP) is a universally conserved ribonucleoprotein. NCBI's taxonomy places the organism in Eukaryota, Metazoa, Chordata, Mammalia, Primates, Hominidae. The record is from Ensembl.